Molecule: ribosomal RNA, 515 nt
Filed under: Fusarium solani
Lineage: Eukaryota; Fungi; Ascomycota; Sordariomycetes; Hypocreales; Nectriaceae
Description: eukaryotic LSU rRNA
Rfam family: 5.8S ribosomal RNA (bases 168-321)
Source: RNAcentral
GCGGANGGAUCAUUACCGAGUUAUACAACUCAUCAACCCUGUGAACAUACCUAAAACGUUGCUUCGGCGGGAACAGACGGCCCCGUAACACGGGCCGCCCCCGCCAGAGGACCCCCUAACUCUGUUUCUAUUAUGUUUCUUCUGAGUAAAACAAGCAAAUAAAUUAAAACUUUCAACAACGGAUCUCUUGGCUCUGGCAUCGAUGAAGAACGCAGCGAAAUGCGAUAAGUAAUGUGAAUUGCAGAAUUCAGUGAAUCAUCGAAUCUUUGAACGCACAUUGCGCCCGCCAGUAUUCUGGCGGGCAUGCCUGUUCGAGCGUCAUUACAACCCUCAGGCCCCCGGGCCUGGCGUUGGGGAUCGGCGAGGCGCCCCCUGCGGGCACACGCCGUCCCCCAAAUACAGUGGCGGUCCCGCCGCAGCUUCCAUUGCGUAGUAGCUAACACCUCGCAACUGGAGAGCGGCGCGGCCACGCCGUAAAACACCCAACUUCUGAAUGUUGACCUCGAAUCAGGUAG